GACGAACGCUGGCGGCGUGCUUAACACAUGCAAGUCGAGCGGUAAGGCCCUUUCGGGGGUACGACGAGCGGCGAACGGGUGAGUAACACGUGGGUGACCUGCCCUCCAGCUCUGGGAUAAGCCUGGGAAACCGGGUCUAAUACUGGAUAUGACUCCAUGACGCAUGUUGUGGGGUGGAAAGCCUUGUGCGGCUGAGGAUGGGCCCGCGGCCUAUCAGCUUGUUGGUGGGGUGAUGGCCUACCAAGGCGACGACGGGUAGCCGG
Molecule: ribosomal RNA, 263 nt
Filed under: uncultured bacterium
Lineage: Bacteria
Description: partial 16S ribosomal RNA
Rfam family: Bacterial small subunit ribosomal RNA
Source: RNAcentral